UGCUUAGACACAUGCUUAGCCGCACACAUAGGAGAGAGAACACUGAUCAUGGGGACACUGACAACAUGCUUAACUUAUUUCAAGACACUUUUAGGACUGAAGGGUGAACUGAUGUGUGACUGAUUCCGAUAGCUCCCAUAGAGAUAGAGUUAAAACCGCGUACGAUUCCAAUUUAAUCGUCGCCAGCAUCCCUUAAGGAUGGAACAGACUGUGGAUAUAUAUUUUUUUAAACCAUAGAAUGGCUGUUAUAGGCAGGUGUACUGGAGAGGACGAGGGCUCCCUGGAAUACAUUAAUUAAUUAAUUUCCUAAACCCUUGAAAAUGGGCCUUGAUUUGGGGCCAAUAAAUAAAUUUGUAACCCGUUCUUUACUAAUUAUGCCGACGUAUUAUGACAUUCCUUAACCAAGCACAAUGAUGAUGCUGUGAGUUCAGAUAAGACAUGGUUCUCCUGCAUUCAUUUGACAGACGCAUGCAUUUUUUAUUUUUUUCUCUGUUUUCUUCUAGAGGUUGACCGCUUAUUAGUAGUAUUAUUGAAAAAGAUGGAUUUAGGAAUUCCAUCCUAUUUCAAAAGGGGGAAGGGAGCGACUUAACAUGUGUUUUAGACAGUGAGAGAGAGAGGAAGAUAAAAGGACAGAAAGAAAAGGUUGUUUUUGACCUAGAAGCUGGCUCGACAAUCUAUGUUGACGCCAGAGUACGCAGAGGAGGGCCAGACAAGUACAGACCAAUAGAUCAGAUAGCAGUAGGUUUAGAAUCAGAAUGUGGACUGUCUCAACUAUGUGCAUUUCAACAACUUGACAUGACCGACAGGAAUGCAAGGACAGCUAAUGACUUAUUAGAGCUUUUGCACCCCAUGAUGUUGUUAAAUGUGCCGCUCACGGUACUUCUUUUGAUUUUGUAUUGUAUUGUAUUGUAUUGUGAUGUAUCAGGCAGGAGAUGUUCAUGAACACUCCGUGAAGGGAGUGAGGACAUUGAUCCUGCAGCCUCCAUGAGGGCUCUCGUGGAGGUUAAGUCGACUGCCUCUCAAGAGGAGCAGUUAAGGUUAACAGGGGGGUCCGGUCUCAUACGGGUUGGUGGUAGCACCUGUUUCACUCCUUCCUCAGUUGGUUUUGGUGGCUCAUGGUGAUUUCCAUGGAGCCAGGGGGAGGUGGUGGAGGCUUUGCAGGCUACCUGGUGGUCUCGAUGCGGGUUACCCACAGUCAACAAUCCUGUGCGAUCAGGCGUAAGUUGCGGAGCACGACAUGAGAAAGUCGCACAUCGCUCCGAUAGGCCAUAUUCCAGCUCCAAGACAGCCAUAGUGUUAUUUGAUUUCAUUGAUAUAAUCAGACCGGUAAGCAAAACAAUAUGUGUUGGUGGUGAUUGACAGAUUCAGCAGAGGGGGGGAAGCCGCCCAGCAGCCAAAGCUGAGGCUAUAACUGGAGCUUAGUUUCUAACCAGAGAAGUAAGUCCAAUAAUCAGUUCUGAUAAGAAGUGCUAAUCUGUUUUUAUCCAAGGUAUUGUUGGAAAAGUGUGUCUUUUAGGUUCCGGCGGAGGAUAUAGAGACUUUCUGCUGUCCUGAUGUCAGUGAGGAGCUCGGUCCACCACUGAGAAGCCGGAACAGCAACCAGUCUUGAUUUUGUCAGGUGGAAGGAGCCACGGAGGAGAAGCACGUCGGACCAGACCCACAGGAGGAGGAGGUCCAUCCGAGGAAGGGGGAUGAGCCACGCCAGACUGGACCCCACCUGAUGGGACUGACCACGCCCACCGCAGUGGAGAGAAACCACACUGGAACCACAUCACACACUGCACCAAUGCAGCAGCACCUGAAGGAAGGCCAGAGGGCAGGAGAGGGCAGGAGACCAUCACGGCAAAGCCCUGCCGGCCACAGAGGAGAGGAGAAGCAAGGCGUGGCCAAUCCACACCAGAACACCAGCAGACGGCUGAGGGAGCUGGAGAGGGGGAUGACCUUCACACUCACAGAAAGGAGAGAACGAUAUGGAGAGCCCAGCUGAAAGAACAAUGCCCGUCUCAUGGAACCCCAAGAAGAAGACGUGGUCCCUAGCAAUAGGAGGUAACAGCCAUUAUCGGACUAACGGUCAGAUUGACCUGCGAUGAGGUUGGUUCAUCAGGGUGGCUCUAGAGAACCCUGCGAUUGUGAUAAAUGUGUUUUAUAACCUAAUAUUGUUGGGGCUUGCAUUUCUUAUCAGGUCUAAUAACCUGAGAAAAACAGCAUAUUCUGCCAUUGACUAGUCGAGUUGCCUUAAGUGACAUUAGUAGAGUGUAACCCUUAUAAAAGGGCAUUUCUGUUUACUUAUGUGAUGUGAUAAUAAUGGAUAACAAGAUAUAAGCAAUAACACCCCAAAGGACCCGACCCCAAAGAAGACCUGCAGCAGCUCAUGCAUUCAUCCACCAGGUGCUAGUAACCUGAUGCAUGAGCGGUUCCUGCUGUACGCAAAGUACAUGAACCAGAAGAGUCACAGGAGCAACAACAUGUUCUGUCUGGUGAGAGACCUCUGUCUCCCAAGGGGGGAAUGUGCUGGUUAAAAUGUUUCAAAUUGUGUGCUUCCACAACAUAUAUACAUAGGGGGUAUUAAACUUUUACAUUGUGUUAUAUUAGGCUUAAAUUACAUCUACAAAGAUGAUUGAGAGGGCACACACAGCUCUCUCCCUCAGACAAGGGUCAACAACGCCAGACAGAGAUAGACCCAGCGGCCUUGUGUUGCUCCAGUCUUAACCGUUAGAGAGGAGACUGGAGAGAGGAGACUGCAGAGAGGACCAGGAGGCUCAGACACAAUAACGAUAAGAGAGACGAGGGGGGAGACGUCAGCAAGAAACCUCCACAUUCCUUAAAGUAACCAGUGUGGACUGAGACAGGGGUCACACUGAGUGACGAGAACUAAUGGAGAGGAUGGGGACGAUGGUGAGCAGAUAAGUAUCAACGGCGACGGAUCCGAGGAAGAAACCGAAUUGGACGCUCCCUUCCUGUACACAUAACUUGCGAAGGUUUGAUCAUAUCCCAUAUAGUACACACAAGCACACACUUAAAGAGGCGGGAGACUGUCCUGAUAGGGAGUUUUUUUCAUACUGUUUUUGUAUUAGCAGACUAUGUGCUCAGAGGAAUAUCCAGUAGAAAGAAGAGGGUUACAAAUACCUGGAGACAACGGUUCUCUAGUACGAGGAAUAUAAAAGAUCCUGGAUAUAAGAGGGUUCAGCUUAGCUUCUUAUGAGAUCUAUCAAGUUUUUGGAUAGCACACUACACCUAUUUCUACUUAUAAUGUUGAGAUUUCCACUCUGUACUGAUAUCACACUACACUUAUUUAGUCUUAUUGUUGUUAGAGAUUUCCACUCUGUACUGAUUUAAUUUCACCUAUUUCUACUUAUAAUGUGCAGAUCUCCACCAUGUCACUGAUCGAGCCAGUUCUUCUAGAUUUAUAUUAAAAUUGAGUUACAUAAUGAAUUAUGUAAAAAUGGGGAUUGUUAAUAUUAAUCUGAUUUAUUGAAGGGACCGUAAUGUCUAGGUUCCGGCAAAACAUCAGAAGAGACGGCACUUUGCCUGUGAGGAGACAGAGAUAUUGUGUCUGCAGCUCAAGGGCAGCUACACGCCUGACCGUAUUCAACAUUCACACUUGUUAUCAAUAUUUACACAUACCAAGAGGGACGCACGGCCAACAGACAGCCCCCACCCGGGGGUAAGAGGGAUGGGAUAUGCUCCUGUGACGAGAUCUGGGGGGAAGGGAUGGAAUCUUGAUGGGCUGGGGAGAAGCGUGGGUUCCUGGGGCUAGACAGGUGUGUUGAGGAGAGCUCCCCGUGUGAUUGCAAUCGCAGGUGAGCAUUUGUACUUUGCUUUUGAUCAGUGAAUAAACGUCUCCCUAAAGGAGAGAACUAUA
Pseudoliparis swirei is the source of this 3862-nucleotide long non-coding RNA. RefSeq lists it as uncharacterized. Lineage: Eukaryota; Metazoa; Chordata; Actinopteri; Perciformes; Liparidae. The transcript has 2 exons. The record is from RefSeq and is a predicted model, not a curated record.